GGAAGGACAAGCCAAUGGGUGAUGGCAACUGUUUCGAAAACAGCCGAGCGUCCGCAAGGAUGCCUUGAGGGUUCGACUCCCUUUCUUUCCG
This 91-nucleotide transfer RNA is filed under the name Fuerstiella marisgermanici. RNAcentral's name for it is "Fuerstia marisgermanicae tRNA". It matches the Rfam family "tRNA". From Rfam's summary of the family: Transfer RNA (tRNA) molecules are approximately 80 nucleotides in length. Their secondary structure includes four short double-helical elements and three loops (D, anti-codon, and T loops). The record is from Rfam by way of RNAcentral. Lineage: Bacteria; Pseudomonadati; Planctomycetota; Planctomycetia; Planctomycetales; Planctomycetaceae.